Non-coding RNA from Musa acuminata subsp. malaccensis (wild Malaysian banana), 643 nucleotides. The record is from RefSeq and is a predicted model, not a curated record. Lineage: Eukaryota; Viridiplantae; Streptophyta; Magnoliopsida; Zingiberales; Musaceae.
UUAAGAUGGAACAUUAGUCUUUAUUGAUUUUAUUUUCAUGUAAACUGCUACCUAAACAGGAUGUUGUUUGCAGGGUUGCUUCUUGGAUUGUGCGAUUGAGGUACAGUCAUUUCUGCCGGUCAAUUAGCUUCUUGGAUUCUUUUUUAUUUUACCUAAUUGUGCCAAGGCUUGAAAUUUGAUGCAACCUUUUGGUGGUGGAAACUUUUUUUUUCGCUUGUACUGUGCAUUCGAUGACAUGAAGCUGUAUGCUCAGCAAUGAAAGAUGGUUAGGAAUCAUUGAAUCUAUUUGUAAAGUUGAGGAAAAGUCCUGGUGUGAUAUUCGCCUUUGUAGGUCAACCUUCACAAAGUGGAUGUGGACUAUGAUCUCAAGGCUUCUUUCCAGGAGAGAAUUGAUGCAAAUUGAUAUUACCUGAUUGUCGGAUUGCUUUUACAAUCUGAGAUCAGUUGAGUUUUGAGGGGAUUUUUGUUGCAUGCGGAUGCAUCUGGCAACGCCACAAAGGUGUAGGAAAGGAUUGAUGAGAGAGCAUACGGUCGUGGGAGAUGAAGGCGGCAUCGCAUAUGGAAUGGCUUUGGGAUUCAGUAUGGUAACAUCGACACUAUAAAUACCAUCAACAUCUUUAAAUAUGUAUAUAUAUAUUAUAUU